UAAAGAAGCACACCACCUAAUACCUACGUAUUGAUACUGCGUCUCAGCUGCCCGAGGAAAUUCCCAGAGAAGAGAUGGCGUCACCGGUGCAGGUGCGAGAACAGCAAGCAUUGGUGGCAGCUCUGGAGGUGCCUAUAGAAGAACGGGUAACUUCGGCCAGGCAGGGGGUGCAAGUUUGCCAGGAAGCUACGAAAGCUUUUCAAGCGCAAUUCCUAGUGGAUACUCAGUCUACGGUGCUGUAGGUGCACCUAAUAGCUAUAUUAGAAGCAGUAAUGGAAUUUACGGCGGCAACGCUGGAGGAGACAUGGCCUAUGGUAGUAACCUAAACAACGUCGGCGGCGGACUUUACGUCAAUCAAGGCACAGGCAUAAGUGGAACCUACGGCACUAGCGUCGGCGCAGGUAUCGGAAGCGGCCUAAGCGUUCCUUCCGCAGACGGAUAUCUGGGUUUCUAUGGAGGGUCAAACACGUUAGGAGGUAGUGGUUUUGUCAGCGGAGCUACUCGUCCAGGAGCAGUGGGAACAGGUUCACUUGGAGGCCUCGAUGUAGGUGCCGGUAGCGGUGCCGUGCUCUCCGGGGGCCUGGGAGGCCUAGAGGCUAUGGAGACUACGGGUUAUCAGGGUACCCGGGAGUGCUCGGAGGGGCCGACUAUGGCAUUGCUGACUGGCGGGAAAGGCUCAGGGAGAGAAGGCGUCUGCGCCAGCUCAGGCGCAUCCUGCGCCGUUAUAACCACGAUCAAGAUGCACUUGCUCGACUGGGUUAUCCUGUCUCGGUGUACGGACCUAGCUUUGGUGCUGGAAUAGGAGCGGGUGCAGGCUUGGGAGCCGGUGCAAGCGGAGGGCUGGGAGGUCGAGUAGGAGCCGGGCUUGGGGGAGGCAUUCGUGGUGGCUUGGGAGGUGGUGCCGGAGUGGGUGGUCGAACGCGAGGUCACCUGAGAGUGCGAGCUGGUCUCAGCGUUGAAGUCAACCUCGGAGUGGACGCAGGUGUAAACUCAGAUCUUGCUGGAGGUGCCAGGGCACAGAGGUGUCGCUGAGAACGUAAACGGCGGUGCUGGCGCCAAUGUGGCUGGCGGUGUUGACGCUGGUGCAAAUGGCCGUGCCGGUGUCUCUGGUGGUGUAUCUGGAAGUAGGUUAAACUUAUAGUUGCCGAAACAUUUCGACGAAUGUUAAAGACGAAAAAGAUUCUUCGAGACUUCUUUUAACCUGUUAGAUUACGCCAAAUCCUUGCCAUGCAAACAACGUUUUCAUCCCACAAGCUUCUCAGCGAAAUGGCACCUCAACUUCAGGUGUUCGUGCAAUAAAGUACGUACUAUUCUCUUUCGACAGUCUCAUUUGUCACAACCAAGUAGGCGUCAACAAAAAGCUUGAAUUUCUUUGAAGAGUUCUUAUAAAAAUAUUGUUCAAAUUGUAAUUUGCUUAUUUCUCUUCUACCUCUUUAACAGUGGAUAAAUAUCCAUUAAUGAGACGGUAAAUCGAGACAUAAUCUAUAAACGAAUAUUUAUUAUUUACACAAGGAAAACGUAGUGUAGGUAAACUCACGAAACCGUUUACU
This 1550-nucleotide long non-coding RNA is filed under the name Rhipicephalus sanguineus (brown dog tick). Its description in RNAcentral is "uncharacterized LOC119390827". The record is from RNAcentral. Lineage: Eukaryota; Metazoa; Arthropoda; Arachnida; Ixodida; Ixodidae.